Molecule: ribosomal RNA, 167 nt
Filed under: uncultured bacterium
Lineage: Bacteria
Description: partial 16S ribosomal RNA
Rfam family: Bacterial small subunit ribosomal RNA
Source: RNAcentral
ACGGGAGGCAGCAGUGGGGAAUCUUAGACAAUGGGCGCAAGCCUGAUCCAGCCAUGCCGCGUGAGUGAUGAAGGCCCUAGGGUCGUAAAGCUCUUUCGCCAGGGAUGAUAAUGACAGUACCUGGUAAAGAAACCCCGGCUAACUCCGUGCCAGCAGCCGCGGUAAUA